AUGGCACCGCUGAGAGGCUGGCACUGCAGGCCAGGCCUCAACGCGCCAGUGAGUGAACUCAGAGAAGUUUGGAGGCUUGUCCCUAACCACGUGCCAGCUCUUUGGUGCCCCCGAGGCAGAACCACGUCAGGAGCGCAGCCAGUCAUCCCUCAGACCGCCGCCAUGUGUUCAAGUCAAACUGCUACAGACUCCAAGAUGGUCUCCAGCACAGGGAUUCCCAAACUGUGCUCAGCAGACCUAAGGCUAUGUGAGGAUGUUUGGCCUGAUGAACCAAUGUUCAUUUCCAUUUUUGAGGAAUGCAGCUGAUGAAAGUAAGAUAAAGCUAAGAGGAAAAGAAAAGCUAAGGAAGUUUAAAACGCAUGCAUAUUUUUAUAACAAUUCUUCCAUGCAUUAGUGGCUGUACCAGCAACAGAGGUAUAAUGUGAUCCGAGUUGAAAAGGAACAGGACUUGAUAUUGAGUGAGAAAAGAGGUCAUGGCAUGAUCUCUGUGUGGUGGUGUCAUCAAUAGUACUGAACAGACAGCAUGGUGAGCAGUGGGACUUGAGGUGGGACACCUUCCCUGCACGGGCUCUCUGUUGCCUGACACCCAUACUGCCCUCUCUGUGUGGACUUCCUCAGCUAAGUGCUAAUUUGGACAUCUCUUGUAGUCAUUAAAUUGGAGAACAUAAAUAUUGUUGGUGUCUCAAUCUCUUGUUAUAUUCAGCUGAAGCUGAUCUAUGGUUACAAAUGUUAGAGCGAGAUGAGGUGAGCCAGCUUUCUUCAAGAAGCCAAGAUAAAAGAGGUGAGACUGUCAGCCAACAAAACUAGGGAAAGUUAAACUUCACUUAUCUGAUGAAAAGCAAGCACAAUAAAUCUUUCAGAAAGAAAAACA
This 871-nucleotide long non-coding RNA is filed under the name Anser brachyrhynchus (Pink-footed goose). RNAcentral's name for it is "lncRNA (ENSABRG00000006099.1)". The record is from RNAcentral. Lineage: Eukaryota; Metazoa; Chordata; Aves; Anseriformes; Anatidae.